UCGAGAAUAAUUCACAAUGGGGGCAACCCUGAUGGUGCAACGCCGCGUGGAGGAUGACGGUCUUCGGAUUGUAAACUCCUGUCAUCCGGGAGAAAGACCUGGCCGUUAAUAGCGGACAGGGUUGAUAGUACCGGAAGAGGAAGGGACGGCUAACUUCGUGCCAGCAGCCGCGGUAAUACGAAGGGUGCAAGCGUUACUCGGAAUUACUGGGCGUAAAGCGUGCGUAGGUGGUUGUUUAAGUCUGAUGUGAAAGCCCUGGGCUCAACCUGGGAAUGGCAUUGGAAACUGGGCAGCUAGAGUGCGGUAGAGGGUAGUGGAAUUCCCGGUGUAGCAGUGAAAUGCGUAGAGAUCGGGAGGAACAUCUGUGGCGAAGGCGACUGCCUGGACCAGCACUGACACUGAGGCACGAAAGCGUGGGGAGCAAACA
RNAcentral lists this ribosomal RNA (427 nucleotides) under uncultured bacterium. Its description in RNAcentral is "bacterial SSU rRNA". It matches the Rfam family "Bacterial small subunit ribosomal RNA", at positions 355 to 774 of the family's 1533-position model. The record is from RNAcentral.